RNAcentral lists this ribosomal RNA (400 nucleotides) under uncultured bacterium. Its description in RNAcentral is "bacterial SSU rRNA". It matches the Rfam family "Bacterial small subunit ribosomal RNA", at positions 11 to 413 of the family's 1533-position model. The record is from RNAcentral.
GUUUGAUCCUGGCUCAGAUUGAACGCUGGCGGCAUGCCUUACACAUGCAAGUCGAACGGCAGCACGGGAGCAAUCCUGGUGGCGAGUGGCGAACGGGUGAGUAAUGUAUCGGAACGUGCCUUGUCGUGGGGGAUAACGUAGCGAAAGCUACGCUAAUACCGCAUACCAUCCAAGGAUGAAAGCGGGGGAUCGCAAGACCUCGCGCGACAAGAGUGGCCGAUAUCAGAUUAGGUUGUUGGUGGGGUAACGGCCCACCAAGGCGAUGACGGGUAGCUGGUCUGAGAGGAUGGCCAGCCACAUUGGGACUGAGAGACGGCCCAGACUCCUACGGGAGGCAGCAGUGGGGAAUCUUGCGCAAUGGCCGAAAGGCUGACGCAGCGACGCCGCGUGGAGGAUGACG